This is a long non-coding RNA of Mirounga angustirostris (Northern elephant seal), 4099 nucleotides long. RefSeq lists it as uncharacterized. The transcript has 8 exons. Lineage: Eukaryota; Metazoa; Chordata; Mammalia; Carnivora; Phocidae. The record is from RefSeq and is a predicted model, not a curated record.
AGAGAGACACGCGAGAGAGGGAACACAAGUAGGGGGAAUGGGAGAGGGAGAAGCAGGCUUCCCGCGGAGCAGGGAGCCCGAUGCGGGGCUCGAUCCCAGGACCCUGAGAUCAUGACCUGAGCCGAAGACAGACGCUUAACGACUGAGCCACCCAGGCACCCCGAUGCUGCCUCUUUUAUAUUUUCAUCUCUACAAUUUUAAUUCAGGCCUUCCUCCCCUUCUGUCUGGUGCUACUGUGAUAGACUAGGCUCUACUGGUCCCUGGGUGAGGUGAUCCAUUGGGAUAGAUAAAAGUGGCUCUAGAGAAGUCUCCUAGGUUAGAUGGAUGACUGGAGGUGUGGCCUUGGACAAGUGAUUUAACCAGUCUGUGCCUCAUUUUUCCCAUCUGUGAAAUGGGAUAAUUCCUGAACCUAUUUCAUACACUAGUAGGGCAGAGUGAGACAGAACGCUAGUUGCGUAGAACAGCGACUAGCAUAUGGUAGGGUCAGUAUUACUGUUUUUUCUCCAUUCCAGUUUUCGUUCUUGCUGGAAUUAUCUCAAUGAAACAUAUUGAUUGCUUCCACCUCAAAAAAAGAUCUAUUACCUACAGAAUAAAGGCCAAACAUCUUAGCCCAUCAUUGGAGGCAUUCCAGGAUCUGGCCCAAACUAUCCCCUCUCCCCUCAGUCCCUCCAUUGGGACUCCAUUGGAGCUGACACUCCAGCCAUACCAUAUGAGACACUGAUUUCCAACACGCCACUUUUCUCAAAGCUCCUGACCUUCACUUGUACUGGUCUACUAAUACAGAAUGCCCUUUCCUCAUUCUCUGCCUAUGGAAAUUCCUCAGAUUUGAAAAAUCCUCAUCAAAUACUAUCUCAUCCAUGAAACCUUCCAUGAUUUUCUAACUUCCUCACAAGUAGUCACUCCUUCCUCUGUGUUGUUCCCCAAACUCUUUGUCUAUAGCUCUCCCUGGUUCUUUAUAUGUUUCUGUCUUGAAUUUUGGCCUGUGUUUCCACUGCUUAGAUUCCCUGGGUACAGCAUCCCUGACUAGCAGCUGUCCUCCUUCUGUCUGAACACUGGAACUGGGGAGUUUAUCACAGCCUGAGACAGUCAAGUAGUGCCCACAGGCAAAACGUGUGUUAAAAAGUUUAUCUCCAGAGGGAGCUGAAUGCAGCCAGCACACACGAACGAGCACUCGUUCCUUAAAUAUUUAUCAACACUGAGUGUGUACUAGGUAUUGGGGACACAAAACCAGACCCAGACUCUACAUUCCUAGAACUGCUGUCCAAGCCCAUACAUCAGCCAAGUCUCUGCUCUGUAAUGUGCUCUGAUACAAGUUUGAACUGGACAAGGAACUGCUGGUCCGCACCAGCCCACUGGAACCCUCCCCCACCCUGCCCCUUGCCUUCCAUCCACCUGCACGCUGCUGGUCUUGGUGAGCCACCGAGCCAGGGAUGACUUCUCAGCUGCGGAAACAGAACAAUUCAGCCGAAUAUUUAUUCAACAUCAACUAUGCGCCCAGGAGAGGAGGCAAGACACAGAAAGCAAGUGGAGAUGAAUCGAUAGUGAAAUCAGUUGGCUCUAUACCCAAUGUGGGGCUUGAAUUCACCACCCUGAGAUCAAGAGUUGCAUGCUCUGCUGACCGAGCCAGCCAGAUGCCCUUCCAUCUUAACUAUUUCGAAGUAUAUAAUUUGGUAGUGUCAGCUCUGCUUGUGGUCCUGUUCCAAGAUAUGUUCUGGCUCCCGGGAUCCAGGAUGAAGGAGCGACCUCUGUCUGGGACACGCUGUUCUCAUCGCAGAGGAGGGAAGGGAGAAGAGCCUCCGGUGUUCCACGGAACCCAGCUGGGUUCUCCAUGAGAUCAAGGCCUCUCCUGACUCCCCUGACCAGAAAUAGGUACAUGGCAGCAACCGGCCCUCAGAAGACGGGAAAUCCGCUUUCUCAGUUUUGGCACCCAACAUGGGGCUCUUCACUGGCUAAACAGUACUCACUCCAGGGUUGCUGCCGCUGAAUGAUCUUGGGACUUGGGACAAGCACUGGCAGAAGAUGGUUAUUUUUUCUCUGAUGCUUUUGCAAAAAUGUUCCUGCAAAAGUACUUCAUCUUUAAGAAGACUUAUGGAACAUACUCUAGAAUACAGAUUUCUGAUAACUUCAAGAUCAGAAAACUGAACUGAAAUGCCUUAUUAAAUACCCGAUUUCCCGCAUCAUGCAGGCCUAACUUUGGGAUCCCAGCUGCAUCAUCACCUUCUAAAAUGAGACACAACUGUUUAACUGAACUGACCUAUUGUUCUAAUUCAAAGAAGUAAUGGAGCAAUAUUCCAAGAUGAAGACAAUCAAGGCCCAACACACUUAAGGAGAGAUUUUUACUUCCCCCUUAACUGCGUCAAAGAAUUUAGAUAGAGAACCUGUACCAGGAAGAGAGUUAUUACCAAAGAUAACUUUUUUUUUUUUACAGAAGAAAGUCUUAUCCACAUGGCAUGGCAAACAUUUGCUUACCAAACAUUUGAUCUUCCCAUCUUCCGAUGGAUUGUCUUCCUCACUUUUGAAGUCCCAGAUCCCUACUUGCUUCCCAUUAGCUCAGGGUGGCAUAUAAACCCCAAUUGCCUGACUGUGGGGAGCCUCUCAUGUCUUUGUGGGGCUCCUGGAUGUAUAUAAUUACAUUUGUUUUUCUCCUAUUAAUCUUUCUUAUGUCAAUUUAAUCAUUAGAUCAGCCAAAAAACCUAGAAGGGAAAAAGGAAAAAGUUUUUCUCCCCUAUAAGAACCUCCACCCUGUGGUUUCCCACUGAGCUUACAUCUCUGCCUCUUACCUACACAUCUGUUCCAAGCCCACUCCCUACUGUUUCUGAUCUGGGACUUUUACUUUAUCAGUAGCUCAGGGAAGGACCAAAGAAAGGGUGGGAAGAGUAAGAGAAACUGAAGAGUGAGGAAAAUUGUUAGUCCGUGGGAGCAUGGGAAGAAAGCACCUGCUGAAAUUGUCCAAAAGGUGAAGGAUGUUAAUGAGAGCACAUGGGGUGCUAUGCCCAGUAAGCGCCUUUAACGGCUUCUAGCUGAAGAAACAGAUAUUCAGAAGUCACGGAUUGAAAUGAGGACACUAUUAGUUUUCUAGCGCUGCCAUAACAAAAUCCUAUAGAUUGAGUGGUUUAAACAACAGAGGUGUGUUAUCUCACAGUCCUGGAAGCUAGAAUUCCAAGAUCAAGUUGCUGGUAGGAUUGGUUUCUUCAAGGCCACUCUCCUUGGCUCACGGAUGGCUACCAUCUCCCAGGGUCUCUGUAUCAUUCUCCCUUUGUGCCGGUCUGUGUCCUAAUCUCUUAUAGUCAUACUGGAUUACAGCUCAUCCAUAGGACUUCAUUUUACAUUAAUUACUUCUACAAAGGCCCUAUCUCUAUAUACAGUCACAUUCGGAGGUGCAGAGGAUUAGGACUUUAAGAAAUAAAUUUUGGGGGAACCCAAUUCAAUCUAUUACAGUUACCCAGCCAAAUAAAGGCAGUAUAGCCCAGGGAUUAAACAGACUAUAUUUAGUUAGAAAUACUGUGGUUAGGGGUGCCUGGGUGGUUCAGUCGGCUGGGCGGCCGACUCUUGAUUUCGGCCCAGGUCAUAAUCUUGGGGUCCUGGGAUCAAGCCCUGCAUCAGGCUCUGCACUCAGUGGGGAGUCUGCUUGAGAUUCCCCCUCUCCCUCUGCCCCUCCCCCCGACUUGUGAGCUCGCACACACGUUUUUUUUCUCUCUCAAAUAGAGAGAAUAGAAUAGAAUUCUGACUUUACACUUAAAAUCUCUUGGAACCUUAGCUUCCUCCUCUGCUAAGUGGGAAUAAAAACAAUUGCGGCUCUAGCCCUAUUACAUGAGAUGAGGUAUGCAAGCGCAGAACGUGAGGACAUAGGAAGUACGCAACGACUUUCAGCAGUAGCAGCUGGUGGUGUUUUUGUUGCUAUCUUGUUAUCAUUACCGGUUUCCUUUUCUGUAGAAUGGGGCUAAUAAAAUGCCCACAGACUUAGAGCUGCCAGGAUCGAAUAGGCUGCACGGCAAUGAGUUUAUACUCUGCCUACCACAUAGUGAGCUCUCACAAAGUGUUAAUUGUGGCCAUAGUCUUCAUAGGAUAAGAACCUAGUUUCCCUACUCUUAUCCUACCG